This 278-nucleotide ribosomal RNA is filed under the name Pagurus stimpsoni. RNAcentral's name for it is "partial 12S ribosomal RNA". Lineage: Eukaryota; Metazoa; Arthropoda; Malacostraca; Decapoda; Paguridae. The record is from RNAcentral.
UAAACGAUAAACCACGAGUAUCUUGCCUAUUUUAAAGUUUGUAUACCGUCAUUAUCAGAUAAUUUUGAUAAAAUAAAUUAUUGAAAUUAAAUUUAGUUAAGCAAAUUAGAUCAAGGUGCAGUUUAUAAAUAGGAAAUAAUGGGUUACAAUAAAAAUUAUUUAUAUGGAUUUAUAAUAUGAAAUUAUUUAAUGAAGGUGGAUUUAAUUGUAAUGUUGUUGAUUAUAACAAUUUGAUAUAGGCUCUAAAAUAUGUACAUAUCGCCCGUCGUCGCGGGAAA